Molecule: microRNA precursor, 94 nt
Filed under: Schistosoma mansoni
Lineage: Eukaryota; Metazoa; Platyhelminthes; Trematoda; Strigeidida; Schistosomatidae
Description: microRNA sma-mir-36a precursor
Gene: sma-mir-36a
Source: miRBase by way of RNAcentral
GGUAUAUCUUGUGAAGAGUGCCGACCCGGUUAGCCAUUAGAUUAUUGUUAAAGAAACGUGGCCACCGGGUAGACAUUCAUUCGCAGGAUAUUUC